Long non-coding RNA from Saccostrea cuccullata (small rock oyster), 114 nucleotides. RefSeq lists it as uncharacterized. Lineage: Eukaryota; Metazoa; Mollusca; Bivalvia; Ostreida; Ostreidae. The transcript is spliced from 3 exons. The record is from RefSeq and is a predicted model, not a curated record.
GUGAAAAUCGAGAGAGAAAUUCAACAUGAAAAAAGAGGUUUGAGUACAUCUUGAACAGCCAUCUCCAGGAUAUACUCUGAAGACAGUGAUGUGAAAGUUCAAGGUUUGCCUGUU